GCCCCUCCCUGGUGACCACACCCCUCUAAGCCCCUCCCUGGUGACCACACCCCUCUAAGCCCCACCCCUCUCCACAGUGGGCGGAGCUCCCCGACCGCUCCCUGGCCCGGUGCCCCCAUUGCCGCAAGGUGUCUGCGAUUGGGCGGCGGUUCCCACGGCGACGCUGCCUGUGCUGCCUCCUGGGGGCGCUGCUGAUGGGCGGGGCCGCCGCGGGGCUCGCGGCCGGGACGUGGUGGCUCUGGCGCC
This is a long non-coding RNA of Corapipo altera (White-ruffed manakin), 246 nucleotides long. RefSeq lists it as uncharacterized. NCBI's taxonomy places the organism in Eukaryota, Metazoa, Chordata, Aves, Passeriformes, Pipridae. The record is from RefSeq and is a predicted model, not a curated record. The transcript has 3 exons.